UUUAUGUUUUAGCAAAUCACAUGUCGCAUCAACAUGGUCUUUACCAGACGAGAAUAUGACACUAUAAUAAUACAGAUAUUGACUACAUUCGAGCGGACCACGGCGGCACAUCCGGCGAAUCACUACCAUAUCACAUGUACAAACUGUUUCCGUUACAAUAUAAACGCCUAAAAGCAUCGUCUAAAGCCAGUUCAAAAUGUCUUUAUUCCAUUGCUUUCAUAUUGUUACAGGACAAGUGUAAACAUAUACACUGGGAGUGUUUCUGAUUUUGUCUCGUCUGUCGUAUGCUUAUUUUAGUAAGCUCCUCUGGUACGAAGUUUAAGGAUUGUUGUGUCUCCGUCCUUCGACCGACUUCAAUUCACCGUCCACUGUUCUUCAUACCCAUAUGGAUUUCUUCAUUCUAGGUCAUUUACAAAGAUGUUUGGUUAUAAUGGCAACCAAAAGGAAAAUUGUGAAAAUCUUCUUUUAGGAAAUCUAUCGAUUUCAAAAUAAUUUCAAAGCAACAUUGCUUGCGUGUCCUUUCACAAAUUUCUUCAAACCAUAUUGAUUUGCAGUAAUACGAGGUCUUUAGAGUUUUAAAAGAAAAUAUUAUAGUUCUUCAUGUCUUUAACCGUUAGCCCAGUUUUGAAAUAACUUCAUACAAAUAUCACUUUGACCAUCUUCUAACAUAUCCUUCUUAUCAUUCCGCUGUGUUAAGUUAUAACAUGAUAUGAGCCGAGUAUCUCAAAACAUCUAAGUUUAGUUUUUGUAACAAUUUGGACGCAAAAAAAGGACAGUUUUAUUAAUUACGUUGGGCUAAGAAUAUAUAUAAAUGGAUAAUACAAAUGAUUGAAUUUGUUCUGAACAUAUGCGUUUUCUCUACAUUUCCUCUCCCUUCCUUUUUAUUCUGGUGAAUAUAGUUUCUUAUACAGCAUUUUAUACCGUUACUUUAUGGGUACCUGAUAUUGCUAAAAUAUUCUAAAUACUAAUAAUUCUGUAUACUAGUACUUUUAUUUCAUCUUUUCUUUCCAUUUUUGUUGUUGUUGUUUUUUCCCCUUUUCAGCAAUAACUCAGCAUGUGUUACACAUUACUAUAACAACCAUCAAUAAGUAUUAUCAUUCCGGAGGCUCACUCGAUAAGUAUUCCAAUACUUCCGUCAAUAUCCUGUUGUUUAUGCGAUAAUGUGUGUAUGUACGUGUAUGAUUGUAUCUUGUGUAAUAUUUACAAUAAAAUAUUCUUAAACUAACGUUUGUUUAUAAUGAUCCCAUGAUCAAAUUGGUUAAUUAAAUGCCCAAAUUUAAUUUCAUAUAUCAAGAAUUUAAUUCAAGUGUGUGAUCGUAAUGUGUGUAAUUUUCAGUGAUGGAUAUGGACAAUUAUAGGACAAAUCAGACGGAUGUAUUUUUUUAAUCAAUGAUAUAUAGAUGAUGACGUGCAUUGCAUGUUAAGUGUGCAAAGAGAAUAAUUUAUCAAGAUUCAUACUAUAACUGCAUCAAAACUCAUACAGUGUAACGUUAUAUUCUAGUCAUUUAGAGUAAGUGUCAACCUAGCAUCGAUCGCUUAUAACUUAACACAUUCACAAUUGGAACUCAGAGGAUAUGAAAUACCAUGGAAACAAAGCUAAUACAAGUGGAAAUUGUGUAAGUAUAGAAUACAUUGAAGUAUGAUCUUUGAUUUGCAAUAUGUCUGAAAUCGCAAAUGUGUGUGAUGACAACAGGUGGACCUUUUGAGGCUUUUGUGAGCUUUGCUGUGGAAAUAACAUUUGCAGUGGAAUCAAAAGUCGGUCUAUUAGUUUCCUGCUAUUUCUGUUUUUCCAGAUUACAGGACUUGGAAUAUUUUUGAUAUAUACUCUGUAUUAUUCAGAUUCCAGUGUUUUAAGUCAAAUAGCAUUUAAGUGGAAUACAGUUAAAAGUAGUGCAAAAAGUAGUGCAGGGGCGAAUAUAAGUGAUUUCGUUAGACAUUCUAAUCUGCGAAUUAAUGAGUCAUUGGGGAAAUUUAAUUACAUACCAGAUCAAAGAAAAAAAACUUUAUACGUGUGGAAAAGAGAUAGUAUAGUUCCUGUUAAACCAUCCGCAUUGCUGUUUUCUGAGAAAGAGAGGGCUCUCGUAAAUGAAGACAUCUGCGAUAAACUAGAGAACCGUACAAAAUACAACAUUACUUUAACAACGUCACCGUUUACGUGAGUCGGGUCCGCCUCCGCACGGUUUGGAUGUUUACAAGAGCUCAACCCAUGUCAUACUUACUAGGAAAUUCGUCGAAUAUUUACUGACCGACGAGAUAGCACAUCGUGUUUUAAUGUGGUCAAGAAAAAUACUGGUACCCGACGAGAUGGUUUUUCCAACACUGAACUGCAACAGGAAGCUUAAGGCACCAGGAUCUUAUGAAGGAUAUACAAAUUUGUACGAUCAUCACAAGAGUUCUUUUUCAAGAUACAAAAUGUGGGGAACGGAAAACACGCAGUGCCACGGGAAAAUCGUGCGGGGCAUAUGUAUAUUUGGGCCACGUGACGUUGAAAAUUUACUGACGAGACAUGAACUUUUCGCCAAUAAAUUUCACUUCAGUGAAUUUCCCGAAGUGCCAUUCUGUUUACGAAAUAUAUUAUUAAAAAGAACUAUUUUAGAAUAUAAAGGGUAUAUGGAUUUUAAUGUAUCAUUUUAUAGCAAUAUACCUUACAAAUGGUAACAUAUUAUUCAAAAUUACAAUCUGUUUUUGUUGGCCAUUAAAAGAAAUUGUUUUCUUUUUAUUCUGUA
Mercenaria mercenaria is the source of this 2726-nucleotide RNA transcript. It is a transcript of the gene named beta-1,3-galactosyl-O-glycosyl-glycoprotein beta-1,6-N-acetylglucosaminyltransferase 7-like, with no coding region annotated. The record is from RefSeq and is a predicted model, not a curated record. NCBI's taxonomy places the organism in Eukaryota, Metazoa, Mollusca, Bivalvia, Venerida, Veneridae. The transcript is spliced from 3 exons.